RNAcentral lists this ribosomal RNA (492 nucleotides) under uncultured bacterium. RNAcentral describes it as "partial 16S ribosomal RNA". It matches the Rfam family "Bacterial small subunit ribosomal RNA", at positions 29 to 507 of the family's 1533-position model. The record is from RNAcentral.
AGUGAACGCUGGCGGUAGGCCUAACACAUGCAAGUCGAACGGCAGCACAGUAAGAGCUUGCUCUUACGGGUGGCGGGUGGCGGACGGGUGAGGAAUACAUCGGAAUCUACUUUUUCGUGGGGGAUAACGUAGGGAAACUUACGCUAAUACCGCAUACGACCUACGGGUGAAAGCAGGGGAUCUUCGGACCUUGCGCGAUUGAAUGAGCCGAUGUCGGAUUAGCUAGUUGGCGGGGUAAAGGCCCACCAAGGCGACGAUCCGUAGAUGGUCUGAGAGGAUGAUCAGCCACACUGGAACGGAGACACGGUCCAGACGCCUACGGGAGGCAGCAGUGGGGAAUAUUGGACAAUGGGCGCAAGCCUGAUCCAGCCAUACCGCGUGGGUGAAGAAGGCCUUCGGGUUGUAAAGCCCUUUUGUUGGGAAAGAAAAGCAGCAGGUUAAUACCCCGCUGUUCUGACGGUACCCAAAGAAUAAGCACCGGCUAACUUCGCG